UAGGGAAUCUUCCGCAAUGGGCGAAAGCCUGACGGAGCAACGCCGCGUGAGUGAUGAAGGUCUUCGGAUCGUAAAACUCUGUUAUUAGGGAAGAACAAAUGUGUAAGUAACUAUGCACGUCUUGACGGUACCUAAUCAGAAAGCCACGGCUAACUACGUGCCAGCAGCCGCGGUAAUAUGUAGGUGGCAAGCGUUAUCCGGAAUUAUUGGGCGUAAAGCGCGCGUAGGCGGUUUUUUAAGUCUGAUGUGAAAGCCCACGGCUCAACCGUGGAGGGUCAUUGGAAACUGGAAAACUUGAGUGCAGAAGAGGAAAGUGGAAUUCCAUGUGUAGCAGUGAAAUGCGCAGAGAUAUGGAGGAACACCAGUGGCGAAGGCGACUUUCUGGUCUGUAACUGACGCUGAUGUGCGAAAGCGUGGGGAUCAAACAGG
Molecule: ribosomal RNA, 429 nt
Filed under: Actinomycetes bacterium
Lineage: Bacteria; Bacillati; Actinomycetota; Actinomycetes
Description: Actinobacteria bacterium partial 16S ribosomal RNA
Rfam family: Bacterial small subunit ribosomal RNA
Source: RNAcentral